GGACGAACGCUGGCGGCGUGCCUAACACAUGCAAGUCGAGCGGGAACCUCAGGAGGGGUAACCCUUCCGAGGGGAGAGCGGCGCACGGGUGAGUAACACGUGGGCAACCUGCCCCGGACACCGGGAUAACCCAGGGAAACCUGAGCUAAUACCGGAUACUCCGGCGCGAUCGCAUGGUCGCGCCGGGAAAGCUCCGAUGGUCCGGGAUGGGCCCGCGGCCUAUCAGCUUGUUGGUGGGGUAACGGCCCACCAAGGCGACGACGGGUAGCUGGUCUGAGAGGACGGCCAGCCACACUGGGACUGAGACACGGCCCAGACUCCUACGGGAGGCAGCAGUGGGGGAUCUUGCGCUAAUGCGCGAAAGCGUGACGCAGCGACGCCGCGUGGGGGAUGAAGGCCUCCGGGUUGUAAACCCCUUUCGGCAGGGACGAGGGGAAACUGACGGUACCUGCAGAAGAAGUCGCGGCUAACUACGUGC
Molecule: ribosomal RNA, 478 nt
Filed under: uncultured bacterium
Lineage: Bacteria
Description: bacterial SSU rRNA
Rfam family: Bacterial small subunit ribosomal RNA
Source: RNAcentral